CGCCAAGCGGGACGCGACGACCCCCGACCAGCUUUCGGUCGCCGUCGGUGAGAGCCGGCCGUCGGGGUGAGCGAGUGGCGAGACCGGCCCGUGGAA
Molecule: non-coding RNA, 96 nt
Submitted as: unclassified sequences
Source: Rfam